GGAUGUCAUCUUGCUUUCUCAUUGAUGUGAAUUUAUAACACAAGAGCACAAGCUUGAGUCUCUUCGAUGAGAGGAUAAGUUUACAAGAUAGGAUACGCCAUUAAUUUACAAGAUGAAUACAAACUGAAAUUACAGAUGAGAUUCAUGGCUUGAUAAAUUCUAGCUUUCAUGUUCCAAGUGUCAAUCUUGAUUACCUACAGGUUCCGCUCCUCUUCUUGUUGUGCUGAUUGAGUCGGCUUUUGAUCUUGAUUAAGUUUAU
Molecule: long non-coding RNA, 259 nt
Filed under: Theobroma cacao (cacao)
Lineage: Eukaryota; Viridiplantae; Streptophyta; Magnoliopsida; Malvales; Malvaceae
Description: long non-coding RNA (TCAC_LNC000100)
Source: RNAcentral